CUUCAUGCUCCUCAUCCUGCGGUACAUGUUCUUGACCUGGGGGAUGUGAGUACAACAAGAGUGAGUUCACAUACGUUCAUCGCUCAACAAGUUAUGGGGAAUAAUGUGCAUGAGCUCACUUAUAGUGGGGCUCAUGUGAAGUGUAAGGCUUACCAAAGGAAAUGGUUAAUGUUGAGCAUUGCUUUUAAAGUUGGUCAAAGUUUUAUUAGCAGUUACUGAGUAUAAGUAUAUACCAACCCAAAUAAAUGAGAGAUCACAAUUAAUAACAACACCCACAGUGCAAUGCAUAUGACAAAUUAAGUUUAGUUCCAUAAAUUACUCAUGUGAGGGUCCGAGCCGCUCAUGAUCGUCAGCACGACUGAUAUACCAGUUUUACACUCUGCAGAGGUUGCGCAUCUUUACCCACAAGCCGUGUUACCCAUUUGCCACGGGGUCAUGAAUCCCAUACACCUCUACCGAGGAUGCAAAGCAGGGUAGCACUACGAGGCCUUUACAAAGUUCCACUAGCUUCAAAAACCCGCUACAGUUUCUGAGAAGGGCGAUAUAGGAACCCUCAUCCGGAAAGCCAUCGCAACGUGAUUGACCCGAGAACCUCCUAUACCACAACUCCUAUACCGCUCUUGCCCCUUUUGGGUAAGGUAGUCCUCCACUAGCUUUCCUAAUUAGUCAGCCAAGGGCAUCCCAUACCACCCUUGUGGUAGCACUGUUUUUCCGGGUGGUCGAUCCAUGUUCCAAUUAACAUAAUGAUCUUACCAUGAAUAGUAAUUAAAACAAAAACAAAAUUGGAACAUGAUCAUAACAUAACAUUAAUUUCCUAAAACUAGGUAGACCAAUAGCAAAUCUACCCAAUAGUUCUUUUGUUUGCAAGGUGUGGGAUAAACAAUGCUAGGGAAUCCAAUUAGGUCCCAUCAAAUUAACCUGAGCAUGUCACAGUGAUUAAGGAGAGAAUGUUAUUAGGUAGAGAAAAGUGAUCAAGGGCACAACUUGCCUUAGACUUGAGAUCCUAGGUCCUUUACAAAAUUAGUCUUUGGUGAUUCGUGACCUCGCUGCUACUCGUAGCAAUACAUACAAAUAGACAAGGAGUACAUAAAAAUAACAUUACACCAAACAUGAGAAUAAACAACGUAAGAAUCUUCUACAUGAUGCUACGAGAUCGUAGGUUCGAAAACGACUAAAAUCAAGGUUAUGGUUGAAAAGAUAUGGCUCCCGAAAGACAUAUGUGAUUAGGAAGUUAAUACUAGGUCUUAUGUUGAUUUUAUAAAUCAUGUGAGAAAUAUAUUUUAAGGAAUUCACUAAUUCAACUUUACUCUAAGUCAUAACUUGAUUAGAGGUUAAAUUUUAGUUCAAUUAUAGCUAUGAUAUAUUAACUUUGAUUAGAAGGAUUAAUCUACUAAGCAUAGGUUAAAUGAAUGUCUAUUUUUGAAAACAUAUUACAUGAUAAAAUAAUGUUAUGAAAGCGUAGGUAAUAUUAUUACGGAGCCAACGCAACUAGAACGGACUAAUUCAGAUCUAAAACGAAGAAGUUAUGAACCAAAUAAAUUUUGGGUGGUUUAUUAUUAAAUUUUAUGCUGAAAAUAACCUCGAGGGAUGGUUUUAUAAAAAACUAGGGAACCUAUUGUAAGAUUUUCCCACGGAAGGGGGACGACGAGUUUAAUAUAACAAAGGCGAGGGGCUCAACGACCGAAGAGGUAUCGACCAACCAGAUCUGUCCGAUCACUACUCAACUGUCACGAUUAGAUAUCAAGUAAAGUGAAUCAGUAUGAGGUCGUGGCCAUCAGAUUGCUGAUCGACGGCACAGGUUUUAAAGAAUCAAGGUCCCACUGGGAUAGUCUAGAUCGAAUCUAAUGGCUGAGAUGGACUCUACAAACUGGCACGGAUCAAACUAAUCGCAGUCGUUGGUGAAGGGAUCAGCGGUCCACACACUUCUUCCCCCAUCCAAGCCCGGUACGACGGCACCGCCCAACGCCCACAGUAGCUCCCCGCCGGUGCAAGCCACCCCACGCCCAGACCAUCCCAAGGAUCGCCGGUGAUCGGAAAGGAAGGCAAUGGAAAGGGUGAAAUCGAGGAAGGCCCUCAUACCUGGAAUUGAGCAACGGAACCCGUUGUCCACGGAGCCAUGCGGACCUGAGGUAUUCUUGAACUCCGACGAGCAAUUCCAUUGUACCCGGCCACCCCAGCGGCACUGGUGGAGAUCCCUGACCUGCCUUGGACUCCAAACGGCACCAUCGGUGAAGUCCCAUGGCGGUGACAACCUUUCUCUCCGCGCGCACGUUGCCCCCGAGGGUGAGGAGGAGGGGCCACGAGUUCGAUUUUAUAGCAUGGGGCGAGGGCGAGCUUGGCCUGUCUAGUUCCGAGAUUAGCGCAGAUUUUAGGGGGGAUUUUUUUGUGGCUCCCCGGGCGCCA
RNAcentral lists this long non-coding RNA (2403 nucleotides) under Zea mays. RNAcentral describes it as "long non-coding RNA (ZMAY_LNC001517)". Lineage: Eukaryota; Viridiplantae; Streptophyta; Magnoliopsida; Poales; Poaceae. The record is from RNAcentral.